Molecule: ribosomal RNA, 195 nt
Filed under: Triticum aestivum (bread wheat)
Lineage: Eukaryota; Viridiplantae; Streptophyta; Magnoliopsida; Poales; Poaceae
Description: partial small subunit ribosomal RNA
Source: RNAcentral
AUGGCGGUGUGGCGUGCCGGACAGCUGAAGACGGACCUCAACUUCCCGAAGGUCCAGUCCCAGGCGGUGGCGGAGUGGCUCGUGCCGCAGGGCAUCCGGAUGGAGGAGAUGCCGGCGAAGAAGGCGAAGAAGAGACCGCCGGUUAUCGUCGCUCCAGGCGAGAGUGACGAGGCGGCGAUGGCUCGGUUUGCGUGA